UACGUAGGGUGCAAGCGUUAAUCGGAAUUACUGGCGUAAAGCGUGCGCAGGCGGCUUUGCAAGACAGAUGUGAAAUCCCCGGGCUCAACCUGGGAACUGCAUUUGUGACUGCAAGGCUAGAGUACGGUAGAGGGGGAUGGAAUUCCGCGUGUAGCAGUGAAAUGCGUAGAUAUGCGGAGGAACACCGAUGGCGAAGGCAAUCCCCUGGACCUGUACUGACGCUCAUGCACGAAAGCGUGGGGAGCAACAGG
This 251-nucleotide ribosomal RNA is filed under the name uncultured bacterium. Its description in RNAcentral is "partial 16S ribosomal RNA". It matches the Rfam family "Bacterial small subunit ribosomal RNA", at positions 524 to 775 of the family's 1533-position model. The record is from RNAcentral.